AUGGACUAUGCUCUAUGGGUUGACAAAUUUGAUUGCAGGGGCUGGCAAAGUAAGUGCAGUGUCACCGUUGCACAUAUAUUCAGGGCUACAUCAAACUUCAGUCAGAAGAACAUGACGAGGCAGGGUGCUUCAUGCAGUAUUGGGAGUGAAAGUUUGGUGUAUAAUCAGUGUCGCCUCCACUCUGCCCCGCCCCUGUGCUUUUUCCUCGAUGGAAAUGCGGGCCACCAUGCCGCUCACUUCGCGUGCAACCACUUCAUCUCCAACCUGUCGUUGGAGAGCAUUGCAGACCGAGCGGACAAACGAUGA
This 306-nucleotide ribosomal RNA is filed under the name Triticum aestivum (bread wheat). Its description in RNAcentral is "partial small subunit ribosomal RNA". The record is from RNAcentral. Lineage: Eukaryota; Viridiplantae; Streptophyta; Magnoliopsida; Poales; Poaceae.